Long non-coding RNA from Meriones unguiculatus (Mongolian gerbil), 669 nucleotides. RefSeq lists it as uncharacterized. NCBI's taxonomy places the organism in Eukaryota, Metazoa, Chordata, Mammalia, Rodentia, Muridae. The record is from RefSeq and is a predicted model, not a curated record. The transcript is spliced from 3 exons.
UCCAUGCUGCUGUCACUGCUAGGUUAUGAGGUCCUGCUGCAGCUGGCGAUUUCAAGGUGGUUACAUCAGUAGGAAUCGGGCUAACCAGGCUCUCUGUUCUCUGCUUUGGCCCUGGUUAGUCUUAAACUGGAGGGCUGAUGUGCUCUGCCAGCCAGCUCAGUGCUGCUCUGCCGCCAGGUUAGGAAGUUCUACUGUAACUGGAGACUGGGUUGCUAGUCCAGAUGCUUUCUGGGAAGUACUGGGGGCUCUCCAUUGUGCUCUCCAAGCUCGAGAGGCCCAGCGCCUGUUGUGCCUAGCUUGUAUGGCAUUCCUGCCUGGUUUUGGGUGGCUGGUCAGUGAUCACUCAAGAUCAACCUGAUUUUUUCCCCUACUCCUGGGACAACAGGCAUUCAAGGCCAUGUUGAACUUUUAUAGUCUCAUAUGCAGUCCAGACUGACUCUGAACUCACUAUGUAGCCCAGGCUAAGCUGAAAUCCACAGCAUUCCUCAUGCCUCCCCAUGCAGCUCCGGUAUUAUACAUACACCACCAUACUUGACUUUAUCCUGUUUUAUAUGUACUUUUUAUCUUAGAGCCCAAGAUUGAGCUGAUGUAUACUCUUUUCUGAAGAGCUGUGAAUCUGAGGGAGAGGGGAGGUGGGAAGAAAUGGAAGAGGGGAGGAAGGGAAGGCUG